UACGCAGGGGGCUAGCGUUGUUCGGAAUCACUGGGCGUAAAGGGCGCGUAGGCGGCCAUAUAAGUCGGGGGUGAAAGCCUGUGGCUCAACCACAGAAUUGCCUUCGAUACUGUAUGGCUCGAGACCGGAAGAGGUAAGUGGAACUGCGAGUGUAGAGGUGAAAUUCGUAGAUAUUCGCAAGAACACCAGUGGCGAAGGCGGCUUACUGGUCCGGUUCUGACGCUGAGGCGCGAAAGCGUGGGGAGCAAACAGG
RNAcentral lists this ribosomal RNA (253 nucleotides) under uncultured bacterium. RNAcentral's name for it is "partial 16S ribosomal RNA". It matches the Rfam family "Bacterial small subunit ribosomal RNA", at positions 524 to 776 of the family's 1533-position model. The record is from RNAcentral.